RNAcentral lists this ribosomal RNA (1390 nucleotides) under marine sediment metagenome. RNAcentral's name for it is "bacterial LSU rRNA". It matches the Rfam family "Bacterial large subunit ribosomal RNA", at positions 649 to 1990 of the family's 2925-position model. The record is from RNAcentral.
AGGCAAGAACAGCCGGAGCCGAAGGGAAACCGAGUCUGAACAGGGCGCGGGCCAGCACUAGAUGUUGGUCGAAGUAGCAAGGAGUAGACACGAAACCAGGUGAGCCACCCAUGGUCAGGCUGAAGCGAGGCUAACCCCUCGUGGAGGGCCGAACCUUUCACUGUUGCAAAAGUGUGGGAUGAACUGUGGGUAGAGGUGAUAUGCCAAACGAACUUGGAGAUAGCUUGUUCUCCCCGAAAUAGCUUUAGGGCUAGCCUCGUGGGAUGAGUUAUGGAGGUAGAGCACUGGAUGGGCAAGGGGGCGCAAGCCUACCGCACCCAACCAAACUCCGAAUGCCAUGACUAGAAGAACACGGGAGUCGGACUGCGAAUGAUGAGAUCCGUAGUCGAGAGGGAAAGAGCCCAGACCGUCGGCUAAGGUCCCGAAGUGCAAGCUAAGUGGGAAACGAUGUGGGAUUGCAGAGACAGCCAGGAGGUUGGCUUAGAAGCAGCCACCCUUAAAAGAGUGCGUAAUAGCUCACUGGUCAAGCGAUCUUGCGCGGAAAAUGUAACGGGGCUAAAGCUUGCCACCGAAGCCACGGAGGUCGAUUCUAGGAAUCGGCCUGGUAGGGGAGCGUCGUGUGACCGCAGAAGCUGUACUGUAAGGAGCAGUGGAGGUCACAGGAGUGAGAAUGCUGGCAUGAGUAGCGUAAAAUACGUGAGAACCGUAUUCGCCGAAAGCCCAAGGGUUCCGACGGAAGGUCAGUCCGCGUCGGGUUAGUCGGGCCUAAGCCGAGGCCGAAAGGCGUAGGCGAUGGACAUCCGGUUAAUAAUCCGGAACCACCAAAGCAGAGCGAAGGGGAGACGCAGCAGGGUAGAUCAACCCCCCGGAUGGAAGAGGGGGGCCAAGCGUGUAGGCUGAAGAUGGGUGCAGGCAAAUCCGCACCCGGAGGUCGAGGCGCGAAGGGGACGCAAAAGAGCGGAAGUGAUUGACCCCAGCUGCCAAGAAAAGCCUCUAAGUGAUGAAGCUUAGGUGACCGUACCGCAAACCGACACAGGUGGGCAGGUAGAGGAUACCAAGGCGAACGGGAGAACCUUCAUCAAGGAAUUAGGCAAAUUAACCCCGUAACUUCGGGAGAAGGGGUGCCCUUGUGUGUGAGACCCGAACGGGAGGAGCACAUGGGGGUCGCAGUGACAAGGCUUUAGCGACUGGUUACCAAAACCACAGGUCUCUGCAAACUCGAAAGAGGACGUAUAGGGGCUGACACCUGCCCAGUGCCGGAAGGUUAAGGGGAAGGGUUAGGCCGCGUGAGAACGCGGUUGAAGCUCAGAACCGAAGCCCCGGUGAACGGCGGCCGUAACUAUAACGGUCCUAAGGUAGCGAAAUUCCUUGUCGGGUAAGUUCCGACCCG